AAUUUCAGUUUCCCAAAACUUAUUCUGUUAUUCAUUUACAAAAUCCCUUCUUUCAGUUUCAUGUCAUAUUUCAUCUCUCCUAACAGCUGCCAUUCUCCAAUCUUCUAUUAGACUCAGAAAAGUCUGAAGCAUUGAUACCUAAAUCAUUGGUUCCUCUGUAUGCCAUGAUCAGACAAAAGGAACUAGGGUCUGCCUCCGAAAUCUGAAAUCUAGUGUUUUGUAAGACCACAAUCUCUAAUUCUCUUCAUCUCCCUUACACCUGUGGUCCUCUUUGAUAAUGUCUCAGUAACCACCAGCCAUUUCUUCCUUCAAUAAAAGCACUUCAUAAACAACUGAUGCCCUUCAUUUUCUUGCAAAUCUCCUCUCAUGUCAACAAAGCCAGGCUACAAUCCUGAAUAUAUGCCACAAUCUACCACCUCCCUUUACCUAUUUGGGAUAUACUCUGAGAACAGCCAUGAUUGUUAACCUUAGUUCCUCAAAUCUACUUUCAGUAUGUCCACUCGAUGUCUGAAAACUAAUGUCAGUCUGCCACUUCCUUAAAUAUCUAUUAAUGAUUGCUGUGACUCCUGUGUAUAUUCGUGUUUCUUUUCACUGAAACAUGAAGGGUUAAAUCUAAUCCCUUACUUAACUAGAAAGCAGCUCUUACACUCCACCUCCUUCCAAUUUCCUCUAACAUUUUUUACUUCUCUUUUCUUCACCAGUGCCCCUCUGCUCUACCCUUGUGCAAUAUGCAAUUCUUCUUGAAUAACAGUGUCUAGAAGUUUUCCAGAUUGAAUAUUGUAAUCUGAGAAUUACAGAAAGAUUUAGAACUUGAAAACUUUGCUCCCUUGUUUAAGAAAGAAAGCAUAUGUAAAAACUCAAAACCAACCAAACAGAAAAUAAGUAAGGCUGUACUCAUUAAAAACACUUUCCUGGAAAGAGGACAGCAGAGUACUACCCUGGAAAAGCAAGGCCGCGAGUCGCGCGGAACACACCAAAUCAGCCCGCUGCAGACAGGCAGGUCUGCGGACACCCUACCGAGGUCUCAAGUCGUGUGGAACAUGCCGAAUGAGCCCAUGCCCCGGCAACAAUCCACUGGACACCACCACCACCACCACCACCCCCAAACAGCUCCUCUGGUCUAUCCUUCUUCCCAUCUGUCCCUCCCUCCCC
This 1152-nucleotide long non-coding RNA is filed under the name Heterocephalus glaber (naked mole-rat). RNAcentral's name for it is "lncRNA (ENSHGLG00000050285.1)". The record is from RNAcentral. Lineage: Eukaryota; Metazoa; Chordata; Mammalia; Rodentia; Bathyergidae.